UAUCAUCUUAAACAAGUUUUUCAUCUUGCCACGGAAGAAAAUGUUUUAUUUCUGGAUGUAUGCGUCAGCAGAUUUUCACGUAUAUGUUUUUCUAUUAAUGUUCAUGAAUUCACAUGGAUUUGGAAGAUUAAUAAAGAGAUAUACAGCCAUUGUUUUCUUCCUGAGGGUUGCUGAGUUCUAUAGAGAAGGUCCAAAAAACAUCCUGAAUGUGUUUACCCCUUAGGAUGAUCCAAGAGAGCUUCUCUGCAUCACCUGCCACCUGGGUAUGCUCCAUGCUGUCAUAAGUGAAGAAGCUUUGGGCAUUAACACAAACUUCAGAAACGUUCCCAAAGCUGUUGAGAUACAAGGACUUCUUAAUGCAACCCUAGUGAUAUGCCUUCACUGAUGGUGGUACUCUGUGUUAUGCCAGAGAGAAGAUAUAGCUCAGUUUAUUUCAAGGACAGCCCCGUGAUGUAUUAAAAAGCAUUGCUUAAUUACCUGAAAUGUGUGUACAGAGAGAAGUUUUUAGGUAUUUGAGUUUUCUAUCUGGUCUGUCUGCUCAACUCUCUAUGGCAUAUGUCUCUGGCACACAUCAGCCUACUGGGCUUGACUGACUUCUGUGUCAGCUGAGUGAUGGAAGGUGUCACGGCUGCUCAUACCCACCCCAGCUGAUGUGGAGUAAAUUGGAAUUAUGUGGUUGUAUUUGUCACACAAAGUCCUAAAGACUGCGUAACACCGAGCACCCAAAAUGGAGAUGACCUCCAUUUUGCUUUCCUCCACAGUGGCUAUACUGCAGAAGGGAGAUGGGUUCACCACCUCUGUGUUGAAAAAUGGGCUGCUGAGCACAUUUCCAGCUCUGUUUUCACCACGUUAUGUGUUGGCACAUCCCAGAAUAAAUUGGGAUUGAACCACAUGAGAGGUAAUGCUGAUGGUCAUUUGAUGUCAACUUCUACCUGGAUCAGCCCCAGACACGGAAACCUGAUGCUUAAAUUCAGCUGGAUAACAAAUGAAAAGAUGAAAAGAGCUCUUUCUGACUUUAGAGGAGUAUUGGGAGUGUAUAUACUCUAGCAGAAUCAUCUGGUUACCAUGAUGAUGGGCGAUCUU
This 1083-nucleotide long non-coding RNA is filed under the name Phasianus colchicus (ring-necked pheasant). Its description in RNAcentral is "lncRNA (ENSPCLG00000009190.1)". Lineage: Eukaryota; Metazoa; Chordata; Aves; Galliformes; Phasianidae. The record is from RNAcentral.